AUUCUUUAUGUGUUUCUUAUCAAUCAUUGAGCCCUCAAGACCACUGACCAACCGACUUCAUUUCAAUAGCUUUCGUUUCUCUUUCUCACUUUCACUUUUCCUUCUUGCAUAUCACUCCAAACCCAAACCCAAUUAGUCUCCUCUCUCUUUCUUCUUCAUUCAUUUCUUGACUAUUUGGAAUUGAAAGGAUGCUAGCACUGAUUUGAUGGUGAAUCAAUUUUUGGAUCAGCAUCUAGUUCAUUAUCCUCGCAGCAAGAUCUUUAUGGUGUGAUAUUUGGAGCUCAUCCGCAGUUCUCGGGGUAAUAUAAGAAUGUUAAAGUGGGUAACAACUCUUUUGCACCUAAUAUUGAGUACUUGAAUUGAGAUCUACAACUGUGCUAUAUGGGAUAGAGGCCUUCCAAGAUUAUUUCCACAUCCACA
Molecule: unclassified non-coding RNA, 420 nt
Filed under: Hevea brasiliensis (rubber tree)
Lineage: Eukaryota; Viridiplantae; Streptophyta; Magnoliopsida; Malpighiales; Euphorbiaceae
Source: RNAcentral